RNAcentral lists this ribosomal RNA (460 nucleotides) under uncultured bacterium. Its description in RNAcentral is "partial 16S ribosomal RNA". It matches the Rfam family "Bacterial small subunit ribosomal RNA", at positions 338 to 795 of the family's 1533-position model. The record is from RNAcentral.
CCUACGGGUGGCAGCAGUGAGGAAUAUUGGUCAAUGGACGAGAGUCUGAACCAGCCAAGUAGCGUGAAGGAUGACUGCCCUAUGGGUUGUAAACUUCUUUUAUAUGGGAAUAAAACGUUCCACGUGUGGGAUUUUGUAUGUACCAUAUGAAUAAGGAUCGGCUAACUCCGUGCCAGCAGCCGCGGUAAUACGGAGGAUCCGAGCGUUAUCCGGAUUUAUUGGGUUUAAAGGGAGCGUAGGUGGAUUGUUAAGUCAGUUGUGAAAGUUUGCGGCUGAACCGUAAAAUUGCAGUUGAAACUGGCAGUCUUGAGUACAGUAGAGGUGGGCGGAAUUCGUGGUGUAGCGGUGAAAUGCUUAGAUAUCACGAAGAACUCCGAUUGCGAAGGCAGUUCACUGGACUGCAACUGACACUGAGGCUCGAAAGUGUGGGUAUCAAACAGGAUUAGAUACCCUUGUAGUC